UACGUAGGCAGCAAGCGUUGUUCGGAGUUACUGGGCGUAAAGAGUGUGUAGGCGGUCAGCUAAGUUCGGUGUGAAAUCUCCCGGCUCAACUGGGAGGGUGCGCCGAAGACUGGCAGGCUUGAGUGCGGGAGAGGAAAGCGGAAUUCCUGGUGUAGCGGUGAAAUGCGUAGAUAUCAGGAGGAACACCUGCGGUGUAGACGGCUUUCUGGACCGCAACUGACGCUGAGACACGAAAGCGUGGGUAGCAAACAGGAUUAGAAACCCUAGUAGUCC
RNAcentral lists this ribosomal RNA (273 nucleotides) under uncultured bacterium. RNAcentral's name for it is "partial 16S ribosomal RNA". It matches the Rfam family "Bacterial small subunit ribosomal RNA", at positions 524 to 796 of the family's 1533-position model. The record is from RNAcentral.